UGAGGAAUAUUGGUCAAUGGGCGAGAGCCUGAACCAGCCAAGUAGCGUGAAGGAUGACUGCCCUAUGGGUUGUAAACUUCUUUUAUAAAGGAAUAAAGUCGGGUAUGGAUACCCGUUUGCAUGUACUUUAUGAAUAAGGAUCGGCUAACUCCGUGCC
Molecule: ribosomal RNA, 157 nt
Filed under: uncultured bacterium
Lineage: Bacteria
Description: partial 16S ribosomal RNA
Rfam family: Bacterial small subunit ribosomal RNA
Source: RNAcentral